GAUGAACGCUGGCGGCGUGCUUAACACAUGCAAGUCGAACGAAGCAUUUGCGACAGAUUUUUUCGGAAUGAAGUUGCUUAUGACUGAGUGGCGGACGGGUGAGUAACGCGUGGGUAACCUGCCUUGUACUGGGGGAUAGCAGCUGGAAACGGCUGGUAAUACCGCAUAAGCGCACAAUGUUGCAUGACAUGGUGUGAAAAACUCCGGUGGUAUAAGAUGGACCCGCGUCUGAUUAGCUAGUUGGUGAGAUAACGGCCCACCAAGGCGACGAUCAGUAGCCGACCUGAGAGGGUGACCGGCCACAUUGGGACUGAGACACGGCCCAGACUCCUACGGGAAGCAGCAGUGGGGAAUAUUGCACAAUGGAGGAAACUCUGAUGCAGCGACGCCGCGUGAGUGAAGAAGUAAUUCGUUAUGUAAAGCUCUAUCAGCAGGGAAGAUAGUGACGGUACCUGACUAAGAAGCUCCGGCUAAAUACGUG
RNAcentral lists this ribosomal RNA (481 nucleotides) under uncultured bacterium. RNAcentral's name for it is "partial 16S ribosomal RNA". It matches the Rfam family "Bacterial small subunit ribosomal RNA", at positions 28 to 507 of the family's 1533-position model. The record is from RNAcentral.